Molecule: ribosomal RNA, 933 nt
Filed under: uncultured Cortinarius
Lineage: Eukaryota; Fungi; Basidiomycota; Agaricomycetes; Agaricales; Cortinariaceae
Description: eukaryotic LSU rRNA
Rfam family: Eukaryotic large subunit ribosomal RNA
Source: RNAcentral
CUAGCAUAUCAAUAAGCGGAGGAAAAGAAACUAACAAGGAUUCCCCUAGUAACUGCGAGUGAAGCGGGAAAAGCUCAAAUUUAAAAUCUGGCAGUCUUUGGCUGUCCGAGUUGUAAUCUAGAGAAGUGUUAUCCGCGCUGGACCGUGUACAAGUCUCCUGGAAUGGAGCGUCAUAGAGGGUGAGAAUCCCGUCUUUGACACGGACUACCAGGGCUUUGUGAUGCGCUCUCAAAGAGUCGAGUUGUUUGGGAAUGCAGCUCAAAAUGGGUGGUAAAUUCCAUCUAAAGCUAAAUAUUGGCGAGAGACCGAUAGCGAACAAGUACCGUGAGGGAAAGAUGAAAAGAACUUUGGAAAGAGAGUUAAACAGUACGUGAAAUUGCUGAAAGGGAAACGCUUGAAGUCAGUCGCGUCGUCCAGGGAUCAACCUUGCUUUUGCUUGGUGCACUUUCUGGUUGACGGGUCAGCAUCAAUUUUGACCAUUGGAAAAAUAUCAAGGGAAUGUGACAUCUUUGGAUGUGUUAUAGCCCUUGGUUGUAUACGAUGGUUGGGAUUGAGGAACUCAGCACGCCGCAAGGCCGGGUUUUUAACCACGUACGUGCUUAGGAUGCUGGCAUAAUGGCUUUAAUCGACCCGUCUUGAAACACGGACCAAGGAGUCUAACAUGCCUGCGAGUGUUUGGGUGGAAAACUCGAGCGCGUAAUGAAAGUGAAAGUUGAGAUCCCUGUCGUGGGGAGCAUCGACGCCCGGACCAGACCUUUUGUGACGGUUCCGCGGUAGAGCAUGUAUGUUGGGACCCGAAAGAUGGUGAACUAUGCCUGAAUAGGGUGAAGCCAGAGGAAACUCUGGUGGAGGCUCGUAGCGAUUCUGACGUGCAAAUCGAUCGUCAAAUUUGGGUAUAGGGGCGAAAGACUAAUCGAACCAUCUAGUAGCUGG